This 1014-nucleotide long non-coding RNA is filed under the name Ananas comosus (pineapple). Its description in RNAcentral is "long non-coding RNA (ACOM_LNC034654)". Lineage: Eukaryota; Viridiplantae; Streptophyta; Magnoliopsida; Poales; Bromeliaceae. The record is from RNAcentral.
UUGGUACCCGAUGUCUCAAGUUCAAAUUCUAAUUGAUUCACAUUUCCAGUUAAGUUUAUUUCUAAAUAAAAUAAAUGAAGCGGGCAACAUGUUAACUAUCUUUCAAAAAAAAAAUAAAACUAUCUUCUAUACAUAUUAUAUAUUAUUUCUCAUGAAGUUUGCCACGUGGCAAUUCCUCUUUUAUCCCCCCCUUCUCACUCUCUGAUGCUGCGCAUUUCCACUUCAUCUCUACCCGAUGCUUUGUCUUCCCAUCUGCUCACUUUCUAAUUAAUAUAUUCACAUGAUCCAUUUUUAUCUAAACAAAUCAUUUUUUUUAAAAAAAUAUCUAUUUGCUGUUGUAAUUUUUAUUAUUGAUAUAUAUAAUUUAUUUGCUGUUGUAAUUUUUACUACAUUUGUAUAUAUAUCUAUUUUAUAUUUUCUAUUUGUAUCUAUUUAUGUUUCAUUACAAGUCAAAAAAUUUUAAAAUUUUAAUUUUGUCAAUCUUUUAUCUUUUAUAGCAUUAGCCCAUCGCAAUGUAGGGAUAACAUCACUAUAUAUAUAUAUAUAUAGAGAGAGAGAGAGAGAGAAAGAGAGAGAGAGAGAGAGAGAGAGAGAGAGAGCUAGGCUACUAUACUAUAUAUCUAUAGUACCGUGCUCCGGUACUAUAGUGUUGGUUUUCGAUCUUAAGACAUUCAAAUCAAUGAUCCACACCGAUAAAACUGAUUUAGGGUAUUUAAAGUUUCUAGAAAUAAAAUUUUAUAUUUUUUCGAUAUAGUUUACUUUAUGAUCAAACUAUUUUAAAAUUGUCAAUUUUCAAUGGCUAUUAUGACAAGUUUGGAGUUUAACGGUGUAGAAGAAUCUAAAUUUCUUCAAAUUUUGAUAGAAAAUACUUUAAACUAUAUAGAUUAAGGUUAACAUUCUUGAUCUUGAAUUUAAAAGUCUAUACUCAAAUUUUAAAGAUUAUUCAAUUUUCACCGACCAUUUUGAUAUAAUUUAUUUACUAAGUAAACGAUGUCGAAAAAAACUAAAAUUUUA